RNAcentral lists this ribosomal RNA (497 nucleotides) under uncultured bacterium. RNAcentral describes it as "partial 16S ribosomal RNA". It matches the Rfam family "Bacterial small subunit ribosomal RNA", at positions 28 to 507 of the family's 1533-position model. The record is from RNAcentral.
GAUGAACGCUGGCGGCGUGCCUAAUACAUGCAAGUCGAGCGAACGGACGAGAAGCUUGCUUUUCUGAUGUUAGCGGCGGACGGGUGAGUAACACGUGGAUAACCUACCUAUAAGACUGGGAUAACUUCGGGAAACCGGAGCUAAUACCGGAUAAUAUUUUGAACCGCAUGGUUCAAAAGUGAAAGACGGUCUUGCUGUCACUUAUAGAUGGAUCCGCGCUGCAUUAGCUAGUUGGUAAGGUAACGGCUUACCAAGGCAACGAUGCAUAGCCGACCUGAGAGGGUGAUCGGCCACUCUGGAACUGAGACACGGUCCAGACUCCUACGGGAGGCAGCAGUAGGGAAUCUUCCGCAAUGGGCGAAAGCCUGACGGAGCAACGCCGCGUGAGUGAUGAAGGUCUUCGGAUCGUAAAACUCUGUUAUUAGGGAAGAACAUAUGUGUAAGUAACUGUGCACAUCUUGACGGUACCUAAUCAGAAAGCCACGGCUAACUACGUG